Molecule: ribosomal RNA, 492 nt
Filed under: uncultured bacterium
Lineage: Bacteria
Description: partial 16S ribosomal RNA
Rfam family: Bacterial small subunit ribosomal RNA
Source: RNAcentral
AGUGAACGCCGGCGGUAGGCCUAACACAUGCAAGUCGAACGGCAGCACAGUAAGAGCUUGCUCUUACGGGUGGCGAGUGGCGGACGGGUGAGGAAUACAUCGGAAUCUACUUUUUCGUGGGGGAUAACGUAGGGAAACUUACGCUAAUACCGCAUACGACCUACGGGUGAAAGCAGGGGAUCUUCGGACCUUGCGCGAUUGAAUGAGCCGAUGUCGGAUUAGCUAGUUGGCGGGGUAAAGGCCCACCAAGGCGACGAUCCGUAGCUGGUCUGAGAGGAUGAUCAGCCACACUGGAACUGAGACACGGUCCAGACUCCUACGGGAGGCAGCAGUGGGGAAUAUUGGACAAUGGGCGCAAGCCUGAUCCAGCCAUACCGCGUGGGCGAAGAAGGCCUUCGGGUUGUAAAGCCCUUUUGUUGGGAAAGAAAAGCAGCAGGUUAAUACCCCGCUGUUCUGACGGUACCCAAAGAAUAAGCACCGGCUAACUUCGUG